UAAGAAGAAGACAGAUGAGGCUUUUGCACUUGUACUCCAGCAUAGCAAACAGGUAUCCUAAACAUGUGCUUGUUACCUUAUGCAACAACAUGGCUGAUCUGACUCCACCAUUAAGUCCUAGUUCCGGGUAGGAAGAAAGCCAAGAGCAAAAGGUGUCACCUACGUGCUAGCAAAGUCUGUCCAAAAACCUGCUGGGAGGAGAUUUUACAGAAAACCCACAGAACAAGUUUGGUUUUCCCUUUCUUAAAUUUUGGUAAAAUAUAUAUAAUAUUUGCCAUUGUAAAUGUUUGUAAGCAUACAAUUCAGUGGCAUUAAUCACAUUCACAAGGUUAUGCAAUCAUCACCUCUAUUUCUAAAAUUGUUUCAUAUAUCUAACAAAAAUUCUGUAACUAUUAAGCAAUAACUCCUCAUUCCUGUCUCCUCUCAGCCCCUGAUAAACUCUAAUCUACUGUCUGUCUCUGUGCACUUGCCUGUUUACGUACCUCAUAUAAAUGGAAUCAUGCCAU
This 506-nucleotide long non-coding RNA is filed under the name Homo sapiens (human). RNAcentral's name for it is "long intergenic non-protein coding RNA 2194". The record is from RNAcentral. Lineage: Eukaryota; Metazoa; Chordata; Mammalia; Primates; Hominidae.